RNAcentral lists this ribosomal RNA (1518 nucleotides) under metagenome. Its description in RNAcentral is "bacterial SSU rRNA". It matches the Rfam family "Bacterial small subunit ribosomal RNA". The record is from RNAcentral.
AGAGUUUGAUCCUGGCUCAGGAUAAACGCUGGCGGCGUGCAUUACCAAUGCGAGUUGAGCGCCUUUUCUUCGGAAAGGGAGCAGCGUCCGGGUGCGUAACACGUGGGUGACCUGCCGUGAUGUGGGGGAUACCCACCCGAAGGGGAGAUUAAUACCGCAUGAGCUUUCUGAUCUUGUUUGGAAAGCAAAGCCUGCAAGGGCGCAUUACGAGGGGCCCGCGGCCUAUCAGCUUGUUGGUGGGGUAACGGCCUACCAAAGCGACGACGGGUAGCCGGUCUGAGAGGACGGACGGCCACAGUGGGACUGGGACAUGGUCCACAGCUCUACGGGGUUUAGCAUGGAAGAAUCUUGCGCAACGGUCUAACGAUCGGCGCAGCAACGCCGCGUGGGGGACGACGCGUCUCGGCGUGUAAACCCCUGUUGCUCGGGAAGAAGUACUCGUGGGGAGAUCCUGCGAGGAAGACGGUACCGGGCGAGGAAGCACCGGCUAACUACGUGCCGGCAGCCGCGGUAAUACGUAGGGUGCGAGCGUUAUCCGGAUUUAUUGGGCGUAAAGGGUGCGCAGGCGGCCAUGGGCAGUGGCGCGUGGAAUCUCCCCGCUCACCGGGGAGGGGUCGCGCCAAACGACAUGGCUUGGAGCAGGCAGAGGAUCGCGGAACGGGCGGAGUAGGGGUGAAAUCCGUAGAGACCGUCCGGAACACCAGUGGCGAAGGCGGCGAUCUGGGCCUGAAGAUGGAGAAAUCCAUUUGAACUCGACGCUCGGGCACGAAAGCGUGGGGAGCGAACGGAAUCAGAUACUCCGGUAGUCCACGCCCUAAACGAUGUCGACUCGGUGUCGGGGGUAUCGACCCCUCCGGCGCCCCAGCAAACGCGGUAAGUCGACCGCCUAGGGACUACGGCCGCAAGGCUAAAACUCAAAGGAAUUGACGGGGGCCCGCACAAGCAGCGGAGCGUGUGGAUUAAUUCGAUGCAACGCGCAGAACCUUACCUAGGCUUGACAUGGCAUGUUCAUCCAUCGAAAGGUGGUGCCCGCAAGGGGAGUGUCACAGGUGCUGCAUGGCUGUCGUCAGCUCGUGCCGUGAGGUGUUGGGUUAAGUCCCGCAACGAGCGCAACCCCCGUCCCCAGUUGCCGUUUCUGGGGAGACUGCCGGGCGAACCCCGGAGGAAGGUGGGGAUGACGUCAAGUCCGCAUGGCCCUUACGUCUAGGGCUUCACACACGCUACAAUGGCCGGUACAGCGGGACGCCACUUCGCGAGAAGGAGCCAAUCCCCCAAAGCCGGCCCCAGUACGGAUCGUAGGCUGCAACUCGCCUGCGUGAAGUCGGAGUUGCUAGUAACCGCGCAUCAGCACAGUGCGGUGAAUGCGAUCCCGGGCCUUGUACACACCGCCCGUCACACCACGAAAGUCGGCAAGACUCGAACGCCGCGGGCUAACCCGCAAGGGAGGCAGCGACUGAGAGUCGGGUCGGUGAUUGGGGUGAAGUCGAAACAAGGUAGCCGUACGGGAACGUGCGGCUG